CACUUGAUUACAACAAAAUCUCAACGACGACGUCACAUGUAGAUAAAAUUCAGUCGACAGUUAUGGUUGCACCAAAUCAAUCUGUUCAUUUAAAUGAUGAUCAUUACCCAGUCUCAGAUGAAAAGCAACGAGUUGCAUGGGCGUGGAUAUUUAUAUGUUUUAGUGCUGUGAUUAUCGUGAUUAUAAGCCUAACGUUGCUUAAUGUAUACAGUUGGAAGAUUUUAUUACGAUACAGGCACUCGGUUGUAUGUUGGUUGUUAUAUUAAAUUAGACAGGUGUGUCUUAUAUGUUUAAUGUUUAUGCAUGGCGCCUUAAUAAAUAAAGUUGUGUUUUAGUACAAA
This is a long non-coding RNA of Xenia sp. Carnegie-2017, 341 nucleotides long. RefSeq lists it as uncharacterized. NCBI's taxonomy places the organism in Eukaryota, Metazoa, Cnidaria, Anthozoa, Malacalcyonacea, Xeniidae. The record is from RefSeq and is a predicted model, not a curated record. The transcript is spliced from 2 exons.